AUACUUAACCUGGCAGGGGAGAUUCCAUGAUCACUAAGGUAGUUUUUCCAGGGUGAGGCUUGGCUUAUCCAUUGCACUCUCGCUCUGUUGAUCCCUGUGAUUUCCCCAAAUGUGGAAGACUUGACUGCAUAAUUUGUGGUAGUGGGAGACUGUUAUUUUUGCUUUUUCCUG
Small nuclear RNA from Nycticebus coucang (slow loris), 171 nucleotides. RefSeq annotates it as U1 spliceosomal RNA. The transcript has a single exon. Lineage: Eukaryota; Metazoa; Chordata; Mammalia; Primates; Lorisidae. The record is from RefSeq and is a predicted model, not a curated record.